Molecule: long non-coding RNA, 676 nt
Organism: Haplochromis burtoni (Burton's mouthbrooder)
Lineage: Eukaryota; Metazoa; Chordata; Actinopteri; Cichliformes; Cichlidae
Exons: 3
Source: RefSeq, a predicted model, not a curated record
CUGAAAUAGGGCCCAGGCAUCUAAAUGGGGCUUGUAGGAAUAGUUAUGUUAAGAUUUAUUCCGAUUCGCUCAUGACUCACUAAGUUGUGGUUAAUAGAGAGGUUAAGAAGUAGCCCUUUGUUUUGUUUUGUUUUUCUGCAGUUAACACAUCUCUUAUCUUUGAAUCUGACCAGUGUGUAAAGUGAGAAAGCUUAUUUGGCUCAGGCCUUAAUAGCCUCCACUGCCAUGUAAUUGUUUUUUGCAAUGUACACGAAAAGCAUACCAGGAUACACGAAGACAUGCAUUUCUGAAGUAUUGGGUAACUUUGAACCAAUUUCGAGUCCCUUCCUAUGGCAAAAAAUGUCAUGAAACUGACUUUUCUGUAUGUUACUGACCUUGUUUUAAAGUUUAAAUGGAAAAUUGCAUUUCCUCAGUUGCACACUGUCUGUGGGAUGAAGUUCUUGAUUUUAUGUGAGCUUGUAUUUUCAAUAAUUUCUGUGUACAAGUGAAAGAUGGGGCUUUACUUGCAGAUGUCUCUCCUUUGUCGCUGUCAACAGAAAUUACAUAGUCUUGGAAAAGUGCUUCCUAUCACCACCAGAUGGCGCUGCAUUCAUGAACCUAUUGGAAUUUACACUGUCUUCUAUAUGUAACCUCUGACUCAUUAAUAAUUCCAUAUGUGAAAAAUGGGCAAAUAAAA